RNAcentral lists this long non-coding RNA (1778 nucleotides) under Canis lupus familiaris (dog). RNAcentral describes it as "lncRNA (ENSCAFG00845014216.1)". The record is from RNAcentral. Lineage: Eukaryota; Metazoa; Chordata; Mammalia; Carnivora; Canidae.
CUACAGACUAAAUGUUUGUAUUUCCCCAAAAUUCUUAUGUUGCACCCUCCUCCCCAGUGUGAAGGCAUGAGGAGGAGGGGCCUUUGGGAGGUGAUCUGGUCAUGAGACCCCGGAGGGCUCCCUCGCCCCUUGCACCACGUGAGGAUACAGAGAGAAGGUGGCCGUCCAUGAGCCCGCAAGCCGCCUUCACUGGACAUUGAAUUCGCUGGUGCCUUGAGAUCUUGAACUUCCAGCUUCCAGAACUGUAAGAUAUAAAUACCUGUUUUUUUCUCUUUUUAUAAGCCACCCGGUCUGUGAUAUUCUGUUACAGGAGCCUGAACGGACUGAGGCAGAAGGUGUGAGGAUCCGGAACAAGGUGCGGUUCAGAGAUGACGAGUCUCUGACAGAAUGGAUCGGAUUCUAGCAUCAGUGGGCACCGGCCACUUGCCAGGGGCCAACGGCUCCCAGUGGAUCCCAGGAUGGGGGGCUGCCUGGAUUCCCUUCUUCCCAUGCCCUGGCCUGUGAACCAGUAAAACCCUGCUCUGUGGCAUUUGCUGGUUUCCAUGGCAUAAACACUUACGCUGUGGCUGCCUUUCGGCUCUGUGCACCGUGACGUCACUGACCGCGGAGCUCGGAAGAGAUGCACAGCGAGCUCUUAUGACGGGGAUGAGCUCAUCCCAGCCCACAAGUUGGAGCCCACGUUAAGCCCCAGAAGUCAGCUUGCAGACUCGCAGAGCAUCAGGACUCAAGAGGCAAGGGACGGCAGCAACAAGGGAAAACCGCCCUCAGGAAGGCAGCUCCGAGCCUGGGCUGGGCCUGUCUUCUCCCAGAGGCCUCCGCUUGGACAGCGACGAGUCCCGUCCUAAUCACGGAUUCUUGCAAGCACCCAGCUGCGGCAACCUGCUAUUUUUGCUCUGCGCCCUUGCUUGGGGUCCGUGUGUGUGAGCGUGUGUGUUCGUGCCUGUGGAGGCAGACUGAGACGUCUCCGCACACACAAACGGAUGUGUUUUUACUCCCUAUUAGCUGGUGACAAACUUGGAGCCCUCCCCAGGGAGCGGCGGUCCCUCCAGAGAGCCGCCUGUCUGUCUCCCAGAUUUACAGCUGGAGCCAGGCACUGAGUCAUGAUUCAUCCAGGGACUGGCCCCGGGCCAGCCUGCUUGUGGCCGUGAAGCGCCCGGUUUGCUCUUUUUCCUUCUCUUUCCUCUGCUUUUUCACGGAGCUGCACUUAGACACCGUCCCUCUGGGGAGCCCUUCCUGAGCCCAGACGCACUGUCUCCCAUGCCUUGUGCUUGCUCCCUCUGCCUCAACUCCUGUCACCCUGCAUUGGGCUUAUUGGCAUCAUGCCUGUGUCCCUCCCUGGACUGAGUGCUCCCUGAAGACAGGACCGUGGCUUUCUUUUCGGAGAGGAGCCCUGGGUCGCGGUGGGAGGGACCCCAGCACCCCUCCCUUCUCCCCGCCUCUCUCGGCCGGCCGUCCCAUUCAUCGUUAUCCUCACCUUCCCAGGAUUCAGGGUCCAGGCUUGUCGGGCUGGAGAAGAGGCCCGGGGGCCUUGUGCAUCUACCAGCUAGGCGUUUUGUUCUAGGCCACAGGAAUAGACUCGGGCUGCUAUAGGCGGGAAGGACAAUUUGUGGAAAGGGUAGCAGGUAUUCGCUGAAUUGUAGGAAGUGCCAAGAACGGGGUUCAGGCAGUAGGCAGGGGGCCCAGGAUCACAGCCCCUGGCCUGCCCUGGCCUGCCAGCCCCGGGGCGCUGGGCAGCUCUGUGGGCACGUUGGCCACGGCGCGCUGGGAAGCAGGAUGUU